This 71-nucleotide transfer RNA is filed under the name Callopanchax sidibeorum. Its description in RNAcentral is "tRNA-Gln". It matches the Rfam family "tRNA". Rfam says of the family: Transfer RNA (tRNA) molecules are approximately 80 nucleotides in length. Their secondary structure includes four short double-helical elements and three loops (D, anti-codon, and T loops). Further hydrogen bonds mediate the characteristic L-shaped molecular structure. tRNAs have two regions of fundamental functional importance: the anti-codon, which is responsible for specific mRNA codon recognition, and the 3' end, to which the tRNAs corresponding amino acid is attached (by aminoacyl-tRNA synthetases). tRNAs cope with the degeneracy of the genetic code in two manners: having more than one tRNA (with a specific anti-codon) for a particular amino acid; and 'wobble' base-pairing, i.e. permitting non-standard base-pairing at the 3rd anti-codon position. Lineage: Eukaryota; Metazoa; Chordata; Actinopteri; Cyprinodontiformes; Nothobranchiidae. The record is from RNAcentral.
UAGGAAGUAGUGUAGAGGAAGCACUAAGGGUUUUGAUCCCUUUAGGUGGGGUUCAAGCCCCCUCUUUCUAA